GCUGGGUGCGGUGAUGCACACCUGUAAUCCCAGCAGCUUUGGAGGCUGAGGCAGGAGGAUCGAAAGUUCAAAGCCAGCCUAAG
This 83-nucleotide small RNA is filed under the name Marmota monax (woodchuck). Lineage: Eukaryota; Metazoa; Chordata; Mammalia; Rodentia; Sciuridae. The record is from RNAcentral.